UAAAAGUGCAGAUAUCCUUAUGGUUUACUUAGGUCUGAAGCACAGGAAAAUCUGUAGAAAUACUUAUGUUGUCUUUGGAAGACUUACAAGGACACAUAAAAUAUUUCUCCUGUAAAAACCACUCAUGUUUUAUCAAUAUUACAUUAUGCACUUCCCACUGUUGGUGUGCCUUGGUCUCAGAUUAGUUCAUUGUUCUCACCUGCAAAAUGACACACACACACAUACUCCAGGUGAAGCCAAGUUCCUAGCUUAACAAGCCAGUACAACACAGAGGAUAAAAUCUGAAGGAAGAAGCAAAAGCUUUUUUUAGACUGUGGAAGAUGAGUGUAUUUUCAUUUAGGCUGCCAGAAAAAGAAUGUGCUCUUUGGACAAUGUCUGGCUAAAUUGGGGUGCAGUUAUGGUGUGUGAGGUUUUUGUACCCAGCUGCUGCUGGUGUACUUCAGCUGCAAUGCUGCCUUCCUGCAAGUUGUGCUCUCCUGACCAUGCUGAGUCUAGAGGUUUGCCUGAAGGAGGGGAAGUGACAGGGUUACAGGAACUGGAAGUCAGACCUAGAAAAGCCCUUCACCAGCAGCUAUUGGGCUACAGAAUCCUACUCCAUGCUGCUUUGUCUGUUGGCCACGUUAAUGGACAGUGCUUUCCUCUGCAUCUCCCCCUGGACUGCAUGAGAAUAAUGGGGUAUCCACAAGAUGUGAAUGAUCUCAGCACAAACAAAUGAAUGCAACUUUCCCCUUGCCAAAACCUAAGUAAAAAGACGCUCUAGUUCAGAUCUCAGAGAAGAACGGAUGUGUCCACCUCUUGUAAAGGAGGGCAUUCUUGGCUUAUUAUAUUUGCAAAUAUUCAUUGUCCUGAAUAAUCCUUGGUGUUUUAAGUGACUCUGAGAACUUUCCUAAGGGAGGAUAUGCGGGGCCACAGCUCUUCCCAGGAGCCUCAGGAGGUUUUUAGGAAAGGUCAGCUGGAGCUUUCCCAAGCCAUGCUGGCGUGGGAGGGUAUUUGCCAAAGCUGGCCAGGAAGCUGUGAAUGAAGCAUCAUGCACCAGUGUGGAGGUCUGAGGGAAAGGGAACAUCAGAGCGGUUUCCCACACCCAGACACUAGGAGAAAGCUGUAUUAGAAAUAAACUGAUAGGCGUCUAGACA
This 1133-nucleotide long non-coding RNA is filed under the name Anas platyrhynchos platyrhynchos (common mallard). RNAcentral describes it as "lncRNA (ENSAPLG00000024906.1)". The record is from RNAcentral. Lineage: Eukaryota; Metazoa; Chordata; Aves; Anseriformes; Anatidae.